Molecule: long non-coding RNA, 3707 nt
Organism: Phyllostomus discolor (pale spear-nosed bat)
Lineage: Eukaryota; Metazoa; Chordata; Mammalia; Chiroptera; Phyllostomidae
Exons: 2
Source: RefSeq, a predicted model, not a curated record
GGGGGGGUGGGAUGGGGGGGGAAGAGACGAUAGUGGGGGAGGAGGGGGAGAGGACGAGAAAAGUACGGGGGGGGUCCCCGCUGCCCCAGCGCCCCGCCUCCUCCAAUCAGCGGUCGGGCUGGCGGGCAGGGGUUAACCAGGGGACCCCGCGCCGGCACAGAAGGCCGCCGCCUCGCCGGGCGGCUGAGGGCGGGAGGGCGGCGGCGCCAGCGGGCGGCCUGCGACACGAAGGGAGGUCGGGCCGCCCAGAGAGCGGCCCGGGCCGGAGUCCCGGACCUCGGCUGCCUUUGUACAACCGGCCCCGCCCCACGGGAUCAGCCGCAACUGAGGCGGCUGGGUCAGAACUCUGGACCGCGGAUCAACGCUAGAGGGGCCUCGCUGCCUGUGCCAGCGCUUCCCGGAUCCGCCUCGCGGAACCCGCGCCCACCUAAUCCCUCGUCUCCACGAGUUUAGAUGUCUGGAGUUGACUUAAGGACUACAAGUGAAUCCAUGAGAGAAAAAUUCAGACACUGAACAACAGCCUUGAAAUUUUCCAGGGAGUAGGCAAGUACUUCAAGUGGAGUUUCUGCCUUUUUUUCACCUUCCUGUUACUUCGUAAUUCUUCCAUAUUUUAACAAAACAGACCAGCUGAAAGAGCAAAGAAUGGCAGUUUCUGUUGUCCAACCUCCCAAGCCCUUGGGCAAAUUCAAGCACUGUGGAAAAACUCCAUUAAACCAAGAGUCACCUUGCUCCAGAUCCAAGCCAGGUUGGGAAGUGCACACACAUAUUUCCGAAGUGUUUGAAGGGGAGGAGGAGAAAAACUCGGAGGCAGAAGGUAGAAGAAAAGGGCAAGAUGAAGGACUAUCAAGAGCAGGAGACUCAACAGGCUAGUGUACAUAUGACUUGCCUUCCAUUCUAACACAAACGAAAAGGGAAUGAGCCAAGCUCUUUCACUAUAGUGAAUGGUCAAGAAAGUUAACUCCUUAAAAUGACAUUGAAAUGUCUUAAAUGAGGAGAGAAGAGUUUAAGGAAAUAGCACAGCUGAGUUUCACCCCAGCUCUUCCACACACAAGCUGUAUGGGCCUGUGACCUAACCUUUUCAAGAUUUGCCAACCUCAACUGUGAAGGAGUUUAGAGGAUUUCCAAAGGCCUUUCAUAUCUGAAAGGCUAUUAUUCCAUUUUUUUAAUUAUUUAAAGUAAUCACUGCAACACAGGAAAAGAGACUUUUUAGCUUCUCUUCUCCUAGUGUGUUUUUCUCUGCACAUUAAGGAACUUACACUUUUCCCUGGCUGGUGUGGCUCAGUGCAUUGAGCACCAGCCUGCGAACGGAAAGGUUGCCAGUUCGAUUCCUGGUCAGGGCAUAUGCCUGGGUUACAGGCCUGUUCCCUGGUUGGAGCCUAUAAUAUAGCUCUCCCUCUCUUCCCCUCUCUCUGAAAAUAAAUAAAUAUUUUUUUAAAAAAAGAACUUACACUGUCAUAGAUCUAUUCACAGCCCCACUCUAAAUUUAACACAUACCAAUAGGAAUUCAUACCAGUAGGAAUUUAAUGAAUUUGCUUACCACAAAGAUUCAUGCUUCUAUUUAUAGAUAUUAUGUAAAUGAAAGUAUCAAAUAACAGAGUAAGGAAAAAAACAGACAAUAUGGUUUACUCUUUCCCAGAGAAAAAUGGAUAAUUUCUAAAUAAUUCUGUUGUCAAAUGGUACCUCUUACAAUGUGAUUUAACCUUGGAUUUGUGAAUAAACUUGUUUAAAGUGUGUUUGAUCACAUGGCAACUUUGUGAGACUCAACUUGUCAUGGACUGGCAAAUAGUCACAUGCCCCAUGGAAAGGCCCAAACCCCAUUCAAGCUGAAGAAGGCUCAAACCUGGAUCUAAAUAGAAGAUGUGCACAUUGGUCAUCUGGCCCUUUUUGCCUUUAGGGGUGUAUAUAACAAGUCCUCCAAGAUCAUGUUCAUAUUCCCAGAGAGAACCGCAGAGCUGCUGGACACACCUCAGACUAGUUCAGAUGAUCUCCAAGGUGUGCUCUGCAGGUCUUGACGUGUUAAUAUGCCUUAACCCUGCAGUGGUCGCCCUUCUGAAUGGAGCAUGAGAGGUCGAGUAAAUGACAUUGGUCAUCCACUUAAAAAGUAGGAAUUUACAUGAACAAAUUUUUUAACAUUUUUUUAUCAGUAAUCAUCUAAGUAACUUCUGUGAGAAAGUUGGACUUUGGACUACAACUGAUGAUUAUUUUGCAUAGAUGACUAUUGUCAUCCAUGAGACCACUCCAGAGUUAAAGGGAAUUGAUACUACAUUGGCCCUUGGGAACCUCUCGGUUAAAGUUAAGUGGAAUCUUCUGUUUAAGUACCAGUUAGAGCCUAAAAUGUAUAAUUUGCAUAAGGCAAUCUCCAGGAGGGGGACUGGGGUACUCAGUGUUUUCCUAUUCAAUUUUGGAACCACCACCCUGGUUUUUUGUUUGUUGGUUUCAGGGUACUCCUGGGAAAGAUGUUCUGAGGAAGACAGUGAGGGAAACUACAGUAGCUUAUCCCAUGUUUGCUCAUUCAUAUAUACCACACUAACGCUUGUCUACCAUAUUCUUCAAUGUUCCAUAAUAUCCACCAUCUUCAACAAAAAGAUUGUGGCAUUUGAUAUUGAGCAGAUUGACAGUGCUCAGGAAACAACUCCUUUUCUAAAGGAGCCGGCAUGGUGGAGACAGGAUAAACUUCCCAGUCAAGGUUCCCGGUUUUAAUGUUGGCCCUGCCUCUUACCAACUGUGUAGCCUUAAGUAAGAUACCUAAAUUCCCGAAGCCUCAGUUUCUUUAUCCAUAAAAUGGUGUUAAAGCCUCACAGGACUGUUGGAGAAUGAGAUAAUAUAUCAUCUUACCAGAGUAAUUCCCUAAACUCCAUAUUUAUGCCAAGGGUGUAUACAUUUGCCAUGAGAUUGAUUUGGCAGCACAGAGCCUACCUUCAGACACCAGGCUGCCAGUACCUUUUAGUGGCACUGUUUCCUUCAGGACAGAAAAAAGACUUGUCUCUUUAAUGAAGACAUAUGUUGGGGGGAAUAGAAAAAAACGUAAAAGUCACCUGACCUGUUUAUGUUCUCCCACCCCUGAGAACUGAGGGUUUCUAGUGGUAUGUAGAAAAAGGAAUUUCGAGAGGGCAGUAAUUCCAUUGUAAGUUCUGGGCAGGAAAGCAUAGAACAUUUGUGGUGAGACAGAGCUAGGUUCCAAUCCUGUCUCUUCACCUCAUGUUCCUCAUCUGAAAACUGGCCAGCAUACCUAAUUCCAUAAGUGGCUUUCAUUAAAAUGGAAAUGCUGAUGGGAAAUGUAACCAUGCCUGACAUACGUAGGCAUUUAGUCAAUGUUGUUUCCUCUUUCCUCCCCAUUCCUAACAAAAUGGAAAAGUGUCUGUUUGCUAUGAAAGUGCACCACAGAUUAAAAAAAAAUCAGAUCUCAGCCUUUGGAAGAUGCUCUACCAAUCACUCCCCUAUCUCUGUUUUUUCAUAUCCUCCUACUGCCCAAUUUGCUUCAGAAACGAUUCUUGAGCUAGUCUCCUUGACACAGUUUGCUUUAUUUAUCAAGUUAUGCAUUCUUCACCGCAGCCCACUGACGCUAGAACAAUCUUGUUCUCCUGGAGAGCAUCUCCCUUCAAUUUCCUCUCCAACUCCCUCCCCAACUAUCACUUCUUUUUAAUAGUUGUCUUUUCCCUGAAUUGUGUGUUCCUUCUUUCCAGCACCUAAAAUGUAAUGUAGAUAAA